RNAcentral lists this transfer RNA (69 nucleotides) under Marmota monax (woodchuck). It matches the Rfam family "tRNA". Rfam says of the family: Transfer RNA (tRNA) molecules are approximately 80 nucleotides in length. Lineage: Eukaryota; Metazoa; Chordata; Mammalia; Rodentia; Sciuridae. The record is from Rfam by way of RNAcentral. RNAcentral also lists the same sequence under 2 other names.
GGGGUUAUAGUUCAGUGGUAGAGCACUUGCCUUGCAUGCUUGAGGCCCUGGGUUCGAUCCUCAGCACCA